This 72-nucleotide transfer RNA is filed under the name Bos taurus (domestic cattle). It matches the Rfam family "tRNA". Rfam says of the family: Transfer RNA (tRNA) molecules are approximately 80 nucleotides in length. Their secondary structure includes four short double-helical elements and three loops (D, anti-codon, and T loops). RNAcentral also lists the same sequence under 1 other name. The record is from Rfam by way of RNAcentral. Lineage: Eukaryota; Metazoa; Chordata; Mammalia; Artiodactyla; Bovidae.
UCUUUGGUGGCUCAGACGGUAAAGUGUCUGCCUGCAAUGCGGGAGACCCGGGUUCGAUUCCUGGGUUGGGAA